UUUCCGUAGGUGAACCUGCGGAAGGAUCAUUAUUGAAUGAAACACUUCAGGCUUUAUGCUGUUGUGCUGGCCCUUUGGGCAAUGUGCACACGGCUCUGGUCACUUGUUUCUUCUGUUCCACCUGUGCACUGCCUGUAGACACGCUGUGUCUAUGAUAUUUGUUAACACACAACAAUGUUAGUUGGCAUGUUAUAUAUAAUAAUAAAAUAUACAACUUUCAACAACGGAUCUCUUGGCUCUC
RNAcentral lists this unclassified non-coding RNA (241 nucleotides) under plant metagenome. RNAcentral's name for it is "partial contains small subunit ribosomal RNA, internal transcribed spacer 1, and 5.8S ribosomal RNA". The record is from RNAcentral.